Molecule: ribosomal RNA, 253 nt
Filed under: uncultured bacterium
Lineage: Bacteria
Description: partial 16S ribosomal RNA
Rfam family: Bacterial small subunit ribosomal RNA
Source: RNAcentral
UAUGAAGGGGGCUAGCGUUGCUCGGAAUCACUGGGCGUAAAGGGUGCGUAGGCGGGUUUUUAAGUCAGGGGUGAAAUCCUGGAGCUCAACUCCAGAACUGCCUUUGAUACUGAAGAUCUCGAGUCCGGGAGAGGUGAGUGGAACUGCGAGUGUAGAGGUGAAAUUCGUAGAUAUUCGCAAGAACACCAGUGGCGAAGGCGGCUCACUGGCCCGGUACUGACGCUGAGGCACGAAAGCGUGGGGAGCAAACAGG